This 424-nucleotide ribosomal RNA is filed under the name uncultured bacterium. RNAcentral's name for it is "bacterial SSU rRNA". It matches the Rfam family "Bacterial small subunit ribosomal RNA", at positions 355 to 776 of the family's 1533-position model. The record is from RNAcentral.
UGAGGAAUAUUGGUCAAUGGACGAGAGUCUGAACCAGCCAAGUAGCGUGAAGGAUGACUGCCCUAUGGGUUGUAAACUUCUUUUACAUGGGAAUAAAGUUUUCCACGUGUGGAAUUUUGUAUGUACCAUAUGAAUAAGGAUCGGCUAACUCCGUGCCAGCAGCCGCGGUAAUACGGAGGAUCCGAGCGUUAUCCGGAUUUAUUGGGUUUAAAGGGAGCGUAGGUGGAUUGUUAAGUCAGUUGUGAAAGUUUGCGGCUCAACCGUAAAAUUGCAGUUGAAACUGGCAGUCUUGAGUACAGUAGAGGUGGGCGGAAUUCGUGGUGUAGCGGUGAAAUGCUUAGAUAUCACGAAGAACUCCGAUUGCGAAGGCAGCUCACUGGACUGCAACUGACACUGAGGCUCGAAAGUGUGGGUAUCAAACAGG